Molecule: long non-coding RNA, 223 nt
Filed under: Elaeis guineensis (African oil palm)
Lineage: Eukaryota; Viridiplantae; Streptophyta; Magnoliopsida; Arecales; Arecaceae
Description: long non-coding RNA (EGUI_LNC062729)
Source: RNAcentral
ACAGGUGCAAGCUUAUCGCCGACACAUAAUACCUCUCACACAAAGAUAAGAAGUACUAGAUGCCGCAGGCAUAAGAUCGCCACAGACACAUAAUACCACUCAUGAGAGAUAACUUAUUAGACCCUCAAAAAACUGCCGAGAGUGCAUGCCACAAGCACAAGCUCGCCAUCGGCAUAUAAUACCUCUCGCACGAAGAUGAGAAGUGCUAGAUGCUACAGACACA